GUCCAUGCCGUAAACGUUGGGAACUAGAUGUAGGGCCUAUUCCAUGGGUUCUGUGUCGUAGCUAACGCAUUAAGUUCCCCGCCUGGGGAGUACGGCCGCAAGGCUAAACUCAAAGGAAUUGACGGGGCCCGCACAAGCGGCGGAGCAUGCGGAUUAAUUCGAUGCAACGCGAAGAACCUUACCAAGGCUUGACAUAUACGAGAACGGGCGAGAGAUCGUCAACUCUUUGGACACUCGUAAACAGGUGGUGCAUGGUUGUCGU
RNAcentral lists this ribosomal RNA (262 nucleotides) under uncultured bacterium. RNAcentral describes it as "partial 16S ribosomal RNA". It matches the Rfam family "Bacterial small subunit ribosomal RNA", at positions 793 to 1055 of the family's 1533-position model. The record is from RNAcentral.